CGAAACGUUGAGGUAUAUGUGGAC
RNAcentral lists this microRNA (24 nucleotides) under Glycine max (soybean). Its description in RNAcentral is "gma-miR5765". Lineage: Eukaryota; Viridiplantae; Streptophyta; Magnoliopsida; Fabales; Fabaceae. The record is from miRBase by way of RNAcentral.